RNAcentral lists this ribosomal RNA (254 nucleotides) under uncultured bacterium. Its description in RNAcentral is "partial 16S ribosomal RNA". It matches the Rfam family "Bacterial small subunit ribosomal RNA", at positions 524 to 776 of the family's 1533-position model. The record is from RNAcentral.
UACGGGGGGGGCAAGCGUUGUUCGGAAUUACUGGGCGUAAAGGGUCUGUAGGUGGCCAACUAAGGCAGACGUGAAAUCCCUCAGCUUAACUGGGGAACUGCAUCCGAUACUGGAUGGCUUGAAUCCGGGAGAGGGAUGCAGAAUUCCAGGUGUAGCGGUGAAAUGCGUAGAUAUCUGGAGGAAUACCGGUGGCGAAGGCGGCAUCCUGGACCGGCAUUGACGCUGAGUGAGCGAAAGCCAGGGGAGCGAACGGG